UACGGGGGGGGCAAGCGUUGUUCGGAAUUACUGGGCGUAAAGGGCUCGUAGGCGGCCAACUAAGUCAGACGUGAAAUCCCUCGGCUUAACCGGGGAACUGCGUCUGAUACUGGAUGGCUUGAGUUUGGGAGAGGGAUGCGGAAUUCCAGGUGUAGCGGUGAAAUGCGUAGAUAUCUGGAGGAACACCGGUGGCGAAGGCGGCAUCCUGGACCAACACUGACGCUGAGUGAGCGAAAGCCAGGGAAGCAAACGGG
This 254-nucleotide ribosomal RNA is filed under the name uncultured bacterium. RNAcentral's name for it is "partial 16S ribosomal RNA". It matches the Rfam family "Bacterial small subunit ribosomal RNA", at positions 524 to 776 of the family's 1533-position model. The record is from RNAcentral.